Molecule: small nuclear RNA, 103 nt
Filed under: Castor canadensis (American beaver)
Lineage: Eukaryota; Metazoa; Chordata; Mammalia; Rodentia; Castoridae
Source: RNAcentral
GUGCUCACUUCAGCAGCACAGAUGCUAAAAUUAGAAUGAUAUAGAAAUAGCAUGACCCCUGCACAAGGAUGACAUGCAAGUUCAUGAAGUGUUCCAUAUUUUU